Molecule: ribosomal RNA, 468 nt
Filed under: uncultured bacterium
Lineage: Bacteria
Description: partial 16S ribosomal RNA
Rfam family: Bacterial small subunit ribosomal RNA
Source: RNAcentral
GAUGAACGCUGACAGAAUGCUUAACACAUGCAAGUCAACUUGAAUUUGGGUUUUUUAACUUAGAUUUGGGUGGCGGACGGGUGAGUAACGCGUAAAGAACUUGUCUCACAGCUAGGGACAACAUUUGGAAACGAAUGCUAAUACCUGAUAUUAUGAUUAUAAGGCAUCUUAGAAUUAUGAAAGCUAUAUGCGCUGUGAGAGAGCUUUGCGUCCCAUUAGCUAGUUGGAGAGGUAACGGCUCACCAAGGCGAUGAUGGGUAACCGGCCUGAGAGGGUGAACGGCCACAAGGGGACUGGGACACGGCCCUUACUCCUACGGGAGGCAGCAGUGGGGAAUAUUGGACAAUGGACCAAGAGUCUGAUCCAGCAAUUCUGUGUGCACGAUGACGUUUUUCGGAAUGUAAAGUGCUUUCAGUUGGGAAGAAAAAAAUGACGGUACCAACAGAAGAAGUGACGGCUAAAUACGUG